AGUAGGAUAGCUGGGUCAAAUGGUGUUCCCAUUCCAACUUUUCUGAGGAAUCUCCAUACUGCUUUCCAUAAUGGUUGAACUAAUUUGCAGUCCCACUGGCAAU
RNAcentral lists this microRNA precursor (103 nucleotides) under Marmota monax (woodchuck). The record is from RNAcentral. Lineage: Eukaryota; Metazoa; Chordata; Mammalia; Rodentia; Sciuridae.